Molecule: non-coding RNA, 29 nt
Filed under: Homo sapiens (human)
Lineage: Eukaryota; Metazoa; Chordata; Mammalia; Primates; Hominidae
Source: RNAcentral
UCACACUGAUCCACUGGACUGAGAUUUGC